This 897-nucleotide long non-coding RNA is filed under the name Numida meleagris (helmeted guineafowl). RNAcentral's name for it is "lncRNA (ENSNMEG00000010859.1)". Lineage: Eukaryota; Metazoa; Chordata; Aves; Galliformes; Numididae. The record is from RNAcentral.
GGAGACUAAGCCAAUCUCUGAGUAUAUAAAAGAGGAGGAUUUUUUUUUUAUUUCUGGGAGAUGUUUUCUUCUGUAAUGGCUUGCUAUUUAUUAAAGAACUUUUCCCUUAAAAUUAGCUCCUAAAGAUAACCAAUUUGCCUUUUGAGCUUCAUUUCAUUUCCAGGCAACUCAGGUGUGCCUGUGGUGUUGGGUCUAAAUCCUCUGGCCCCGGUUGAUUAGAAACUUGAAGGCAGGAACUCAUUCUAGAUACACAAGUGCAUGCAGUAUGGACAUAUCAAAGGGAAUUAAUCUAUACAGAUACAGAUAAAAGAAGCAGAAAUAAUUGUAUAUAGGCAAAGGAUAAGAGAAGAGAGAAGACAAAAGGCAAGAAAGAAGUCAAAUACAAAUAAAAGAGAAUAUGAAAAGACUAUUGUAUUAUGUUCAUACUAUGUGAAGUUAAAGUACUUUAAGAUCAUCGGAUGUAAGAUACUAUUUACAGGGAGAAGUUCUUGCUCCGGUGCAGGAGAGGAGUACAGAUGCCAGUCAGAGGCUGUGAGGACACCCACCUCUGCCCCUUGGUUUGGAAGGGAGCUGUGCUGGAGCUCCACGAAGGCCUCACAUUCAGAUUGGCAGCAGGUUCAGAUUGGAUUUCCUCUCUACAGCUGCUCCACGCUCCACUUGCGCCAUGUCCAAACAUCUGGCUUUAAUAGCAGUUCCAAGUGGGAACAUGACAGCAAAUAUGUCCUGCACGCAACAGCAAACUAUGGCCCUAAUUGCCUCUGGCUCAUGUGAUGUAAGAUGGCUAGAAGUUUCCUCUGCCUCUCCUUAUGUAGACAUGCCAUGCAUGAACAUGUAGUGGAGAGGAACCUCGCCCUUCAUUUAUAAUCGUUCCAUGAGCUCAUCUAUGCUCUAAAAGAG